UACGUAGGGAGCAAGCGUUGUUCGGAUUUACUGGGCGUAAAGGGCGCGUAGGCGGCCACCGCAAGUCAAUUGUGAAAUCUCCGGGCUUAACUCGGAAAGGUCAACUGAUACUGCGGGGCUAGAGUGCGGAAGGGGCAACUGGAAUUCUCGGUGUAGCGGUGAAAUGCGUAGAUAUCGAGAGGAACACCUGCGGCGAAGGCGGGUUGCUGGGCCGACACUGACGCUGAUGCGCGAAAGCCAGGGGAGCGAACGGG
RNAcentral lists this ribosomal RNA (254 nucleotides) under uncultured bacterium. Its description in RNAcentral is "partial 16S ribosomal RNA". It matches the Rfam family "Bacterial small subunit ribosomal RNA", at positions 524 to 776 of the family's 1533-position model. The record is from RNAcentral.